Molecule: long non-coding RNA, 596 nt
Filed under: Mytilus galloprovincialis (Mediterranean mussel)
Lineage: Eukaryota; Metazoa; Mollusca; Bivalvia; Mytilida; Mytilidae
Source: RNAcentral
CCUUGGUAAGGAACUUGAGUCAUUUUUUUAAUAAUAAAAAGUUUUCUGCAUCGGUCAGGACAUUAGUCAGAGCAGAGUCAACGUUGGUCAAGUCAACUUUUUUAACUCUUUAAAUUAUCUUUUUUAAUCUUUUUCUUGCAUCAAUAAAUUAAGUAUUAUAAUCUACCUUGACAUUAAAUUUGAAGUCGAACCUUCAAAUAACAAAAAAGUUAUUAGCAUUUUACAUCGGUCAGGACAUUAGUCACGGGAGUACGUAGUUGGUCAGGUCAAGUUUUCUAACUCUUGAAAAUAAUUUUUUUCUUAUUUUUUCUUAUAUUUGUGUAUCAAAUGUAUUAAUCUUCCUUGGUAUCGAAUUUGAAGUCUAUCCUGUCAAUUAUAAAACAUUUUUUAGCCGUUUCAUAUCGGUCAGGACAUUAGUAGUUUCAAAGUCAAGUUGGUCAGGUCAAGUUUUCUAACUCUUAAAAAUAUUUUUUUAAUUUUGUUUUAAUUUUAUUUAUUAAAUAUAAGUUCUCAUCUUGCUUGAUUCCAAAUUUCAAGUAAAUCCUUCCAAUAAUAAAAAAGUAUUAAGCAUUUACAUUUCUGUCAGGACAUUGUCA